GGUGCUCAAUUGGUAGAGCACUCCACCUGUAAUGGAGAAAUCCCGGGUUCGAUACCCGGACCA
This 63-nucleotide transfer RNA is filed under the name Ixodes scapularis (black-legged tick). It matches the Rfam family "tRNA". Rfam says of the family: Transfer RNA (tRNA) molecules are approximately 80 nucleotides in length. Lineage: Eukaryota; Metazoa; Arthropoda; Arachnida; Ixodida; Ixodidae. The record is from Rfam by way of RNAcentral.